Molecule: ribosomal RNA, 478 nt
Filed under: uncultured bacterium
Lineage: Bacteria
Description: partial 16S ribosomal RNA
Rfam family: Bacterial small subunit ribosomal RNA
Source: RNAcentral
GACGAACGCUGGCGGCGUGCUUAACACAUGCAAGUCGAGCGAUGAGGUCUCUUCGGGGACGGAUUAGCGGCGGACGGGUGAGUAACACGUGGGUAACCUGCCUCAUAGAGGGGAAUAGCCUUCCGAAAGGAAGAUUAAUACCGCAUAAGAUUGUAGUUUCGCAUGAAACAGCAAUUAAAGGAGUAAUCCGCUAUGAGAUGGACCCGCGUCGCAUUAGCUAGUUGGUGAGGUAACGGCUGACCAAGGCGACGAUGCGUAGCCGACCUGAGAGGGUGAUCGGCCACAUUGGGACUGAGAGACGGCCCAGACUCCUACGGGAGGCAGCAGUGGGGAAUAUUGCACAAUGGGGGAAACCCUGAUGCAGCAACGCCGCGUGAGUGAUGACGGUCUUCGGAUUGUAAAACUCUGUCUUUGGGGACGAUAAUGACGGUACCCAAGGAGGAAGCUACGGCUAACUACGUGCCAGCCGCCGCGGUAA